This 73-nucleotide transfer RNA is filed under the name Paludibacteraceae bacterium. Its description in RNAcentral is "tRNA-Gly". It matches the Rfam family "tRNA". Rfam says of the family: Transfer RNA (tRNA) molecules are approximately 80 nucleotides in length. Lineage: Bacteria; Pseudomonadati; Bacteroidota; Bacteroidia; Bacteroidales; Paludibacteraceae. RNAcentral also lists the same sequence under 3 other names. The record is from RNAcentral.
GCGAUGAUAGCUCAGUUGGUAGAGCACGACCUUGCCAAGGUCGGGGUCGCGAGUUCGAGUCUCGUUCAUCGCU